UCUGCCUGCCUUGGCCUCCCAAAGCACUGGGAUUACAGGUGUGAGCCACUGCACCUGGCCUGCUUUUCACAGCUUUUCACAGAUACUUUACAAGAGAAGGUGUACAAAUGGUAAAUAAGGACAUGAAAAGAUGGUCAACAUUGUUAGUUAUUAGGGAAUGCAAAUUAAGACUGUAAUCGCCCAACAGGGUUCUUCUUGCUGCCCAGAAAGGCAACGUGCCGAGAACGGCAGGUGUGGCAGCAGAGAAGGAGUUUAAUGACUGCAGAGCCAGCCAAGGGAGGUGGACGGGAGAUAACUCUCACAUCUGUCUGCCUGAGAAUUCAGAGUCGAGGGCUUGAGGGUGUUUUGGCGGGCAGUGGCCUAGGGAGUGGUGAGUGCUGAUUGGUUGUGUUGGGGAUGCAGUCAUAGGGGUGUCAGGACUGUCUUCAUGCAGCUGAGUCAGUUCCUGGGAGAUGGGGUCACAGGUCCCGGUGGCAUCUCUCGAUCUGCUGAAAUGCUAAAUCUGAAAAAUAUCUCAAAGACCAGUUUUUUAGGUUUUGCAGCAGUGAUGUCUGCAGGAGCCGUUAGGGAAGUUCCGAAUCUCACAAUGUCUGGUUACGUGACUCCGGGCAGCAGGCACCGUAGAAGAGCAAGCUAAGUCAGCAGGGAAGGUCGUGGCUUAACCGGGCCUGUUCUUUAGCAAAGUUCAGGCCCCUGUAGUAAUGCCGGUCUUAGGAAUGCGGCCUUAAUCUCCAAACAGAGAGGGAGUGUCAGUUUUCCUUGCUUUGAAGCUUAACUAUAAACUAAAUUCCUCUCAUAGUUAUCUUGGUCUCUGCAUUAGAAUAAGCAAAAAAAAAAAAAAAAGAAAAGAAAAGAAAAAAAGGAUUGCUCCUAUGAGGUUAGAAGCAAGAUGGAGUCAGUAAUGUAGAUUUCUCUCAGUACUUAAAAUUCUGUAAAGGUGGUUUCAAGACCGCAGUGAAAUACCACUGUGUACCCAACAGAAUGGCUAAAAUUAAGCAAAUUGACCGUCCUGACUGCUGGCAGAGAUGCUGAGCAGCCAGGCCUGUCAAACGUUGCCCCUGGGAGUAGGAAAUGGUGCGGCCACUUUGGAAGUGGUUUGGUAGCUUUGUACACACUUACGGUAUGACCUGGCAGUUCCAUUCCUUGGUAUUUAACCCAAGAGAAAAUGCGACCUCACGAAGAUUUGUACAGGAAUGUUUGUAAGAGCCUUAUUCUAACAGUCUGGGAGCAGGAACAACUCAGGUGCUUGUCAGCAGGUGAAGGGGUAUGUGGACCGUGGCGUCUCCACGCAGUGUAACACGCGGCAUCGGCUGUGCUUGGAAACAUGAACGAAUCUCUUGCUGAGUGAAGGAAGCCACAGUUACUGAGUUUAUACUUACUAUACCAUCCCAUUUAUUUGAACUUUUAAAAAAGGUAAAACUGAGCAACAGUGACAAAAAGCAGGUCAGUGAUCCCUGGAGUCUUGUGCUGGGAUAUGUUUGGGGCCUUAUGGGGUGCUACCUUUUGACGUGAUGGAGGUGACAGCUGCACAGGUGUACAUGCAGCAAAGCUCUUGACACUGCUGUUGUGAAACGGUUCACGUGUGUGAUUAUACCUCACCCAAGCUGGCCUGUCAACAGCAAGUGGUCCGCUGUUCGGAUUAGCUGUGAGGGGAAGGAAAAUUCCUUAGUGGCGACUUGGACUGAAUUGGAGAGUCGCCUGGGGGUUCUAUUUAAAGCCAGCCUUCAUUUGGGGAGGGACCCAUCCCCUGAGUUUAUGGAAGGCCUAAGACAAUGGCUGCCUGGACCUCCUGGGUCUUUGGCACAUCACACGAGUGCUUUGAGGAGUGGCAGCAUGUGGGGUCAGGUGUAGGCUGCAGGGGGUCAAGGAGUUUCACAUUUGAUUAAAAGCAGAACAAGCUACGUGAAUGCAAAUGAAUGGAAUGAAAAGUGGAACGUGGUCUUCCUUUCCUUCCCUCCCUGGUGACCUCUCUCAGGGCUGGGUGCCCCGUGUCACAGCUUCCUGGCCAUCACUCAGGGCUGGGUGCCCCGUGUCACAGCUUCCUGGCCAUCGUCACCUGUGUUCUCAUUACUCCUGGGGAACUGUUCCAGAACAGAACUGACUGCCCCGGAGGCGGGUGGCAGGGCAUGCUGUGCUUGGCCCCAGUUCGUCUUUCUAGGCAAUGCCUGAUGAGUUUCUUGUGUGUUGUUCUGGAAAUGUGUGUGCAUACAAGCUCUUUAUGUACUCCCAUCACCUUUUAAAAUUGGGGCUCCUUCCACAGUUUUAUUCUGCAACUGUUUUCACUCAGUUUUUGACAGUUUUUUGGCACCAGCACAGGCUGGUCUGCUGAACUACUUUAAAGAGUGCAGACGGACUCAGACUCCAGCAGCCCCUGUUGAUGGACACUUAGGGUGUUUCCAGCUUUUUCCCCCAAUUAGCCAUGCUAUGCUGGUUGGGUAAAUUCUUAAAAGCAGAAUUUUUAGUUUAAAAGAGAUGUGCAUUUGAGACUGAUAGCUGGUGCCAUACCGCCCUCCCGGAAAGCAUGACUGCUGUGCGCUCCCGUCACGGCGUGUGACUGCCGUCACCUAAUUGGGGUGGUGUGCUUUCAACGUUUCUAGAGAGAUUCACCUCGAAGUCACAGUACGAUGAGGAGAGCAGGCAUCUUCAAAGGCUUGGCUUUUCAGAAAUGUCAUUUAGCAGCUCCCACUGAGGGGGACCCUAUGAAAUAGGAAGGGAGUGGGUGUCAAGUCCUGCAGCCAAACCCCCACUUUAGGGAGGAAAUCAUUUGUUCGUGGCCAAGAUGCCGCUGUUUUUGGCUCCUUGCCCGUCCCGUUGUGCCUGAAUCUGGCCUCGUUUCCCACCCCGCUGGCUGGGUGUUGUACCUGUCAGCAGGGCCAGGCCUGAGGGGGGCUGAGGAGGGCUGCAGAGGAGGCUAGACUGGGGAGGUGGAAGGUGGGCGUUGCCAGCUCAGAGGCCUGGCAGCUGUGCCCACCUGGAACUGCUGACCCAUCCUCUGGAGUCAAAACCGGGCACCUGUCUGUGCUGACCUGGACAUUUUCCCAAAAACAUCUAUAGACUGGCCAGAUGACAAGUCUCAGGGCCCAGCUUCCCUGAUGUGUGAGGCCAAUUAGGAGGACAGUGAGGGGAUGCAUGAUUUUCCUCCAAGGAAGGGUCUAAUUGACCAGCCCGGACGCUUUUAUUAUCCUAGUUACCGUGCGCGUGAUUUGUAAUUACCCGGCUGUUGCGUUGAUCAAUACCAGACGCCCUGGUAGUGCUUGGGAAGUUGGGCGACUGUCAGGUAUGUUGGUCCCUUUUAAUUGGCGCCAAUUUGAUUUUCUUCGGGGCAUGGGAGGAGGAGGGGAGAAGCGUUUGGCCUUCUGGGUACUUGUGUGAACGCAGCCCUUUCUUCUGGGCCUGCAUGCCGGAUGCCUCGGGGUCUGGGCCGCGUUACCCCUUUUGGUUUGUUCAUUUGUUCACUCAUUCGUUCAUCAUGAGCUGCUCUUGUGGAGCCCAUAAUCUGGAGGGAGAAGGAUGCCCCAGGCCUGUGUGUCUGGUGUGCAGGUCCCAGGCCCCUGGAGCUGGAGAGUGGCGAGCGUGCUUCCCUCCAGAGGUGCAGGCCAGGGCGGGGCAUGGGCCAGGUUCCCAGCUCCAUCCUCGUCCGGAGCUGCAGGCCGAGGCGGGACAUGGGCCGGGUUCCCAGCUGCAUCUGAGCACGGUGCCUUCCAUCUCUCCUCCUCUCAGCCCCAGCUCCUCCUGUGGCUGAGUCCUGGCCGCUUUCUGCCUUGGGGUUGUGUUGGUUUUCCGUCAACUCCUCCUCUUAAUCCUGAGCUUUGUGAGUUAAGAGCUGGGGUGUCCCUUUAGCGCCCCUGUGCCGGGCGUGCAGUAGGCGCGUGCUGAGCCUUUGAAGAGUGGAGGAUUGAGCGAGGGCGUCUCUGUGCCUUGCAGUUGGUGGUGAUGUAUGGGCUGAGCCUCCAGCGCUCUUGGCUGCUGUGACAGGACCCCCUGGGGUUACUCGAACUGCACUAUCCCAGCGAGACCCCCAAAGCAAGGCCAGCAGAGAGCUUCCUGACAGCUGCCUUACUUUGGAGACGGCCCUGGCUGGGGUGCAGCCUGUGUGCCUCUCCGCCCCCUUGUAAAGCUUCAGAUGGGUGUUCCCAGCAGCGCCGACAGGCUCACGCUGCCCUGUUGGACUUCAUUCCAGGUUGGGUGGGGCCGGCUGGAGACUGUCAGAGUCUGGGGGCGGUGCUGUGGGUGUUGGAACCCCGUAGGGAGAGGCGAGAGAAGUGCUUCCCCGAAGAGACCGCGGGGCUCCACGCCGGCAUGUGCCUGGCUGCACAGACAGCUGAGUGCCCCUCGGCGUGUCUGGGUGGGAACGCUCUGGGUCUCACCUGGUCUCGGAGCACUUUUUGGGGCUUUUCUCCAAGCUUUGUAGAUACGGCUCUUUUACUUCUAGGCCUCUUUUUAAAUUGAUUUUAAAAGUCUAAGGCUAGAUAGUGACAGGCUUUAGACAAGUCUGGCUACUGUAGAUUCCAGGAUUUAUUUUAGAGGAGGCAGUGGCAUCCCCGGUGGUUUCUAGGCUGGUUUUUACUCAUGGGUGCUUACUGGGGUCCUGUUAUGUGCCGGCCCCUCCUUGUGGGCUAAGGGCUCCCAAGGUGUCCAGGUCCCUACUUUUACAGGUAGAGUAGGGGGUGCCCUGGCCUGGAAUGGAGGAAGGGUCUGGGCAGCUUUGUGACAGGGCUGGUAGGAGGGGGAUUUUGACAGGCGACUUGAAGCCAGCGCCAGCCAAGGGCCAGAGGCGGAGAAGCUGAAGGCCUCCCGUGGGCAGCCCACCACUGCCUGCCCUUCUCUCCGAGGACUUCCCAACAGUGCCAUGGCCUUUGGAGGGCUAGGGUCUCAGGCAGGCUACGGACAGCUCCACAGCUCCUACCAGACACUCUUCAACGUCAGCUUUGGGGCUGUGAGGUGUGACCUCUACAGGAUCACCUGCGGUCACUCCCUACGGCCAGCUGUAGCUGUCAUUUGUGUCAGGAGCUGCUGGUCUUGCCUGGACCACUCACCUUCCCACCCUUCACCCACCCUGCAUGGCCUGGGUUCUUGGGAGGAGCAGGAGAUCCUGAGCUGUUGAAUUCCUGGAACCUGUGGUCAGGCGGCAUCCGUAUCCCGCUCCUCCCAGCCCCUGGACGCUUCUCACUGGUGUGGCCUCCUGGAAACAGGUGCCCUGAUUCUGCUGGACAGGCAGGAGGGGAGGCUGGGCUGAGGAGUGGACCGGCCUUUUCAUGCUCAGUGGCUGCGGGGGGCCAUGUGCAUGAAGCAGGUGGUCCUCGCGGUAGUGCCGUUUGUGCAGAGCCGUGUUGGGGACAGCGGGCUUGUGUUAACAGAAGUGCUGUGAGAUGAUCACUUCAUCACGAGCCAGUCAGCACCAGCCUGUGGGGUGGCUGAUGUGGACUCAGUGAUCUGACUUUCCUGGCUUUUGUUUAAUGAUGUUUCCACUGUUACCCAGGUGCAGAGCUCUGACCUCCCAUGGUCAGAAGUACUGUGUGCGUGUCUCAUCUGGGCAGCAUGCAGAGACCUUUGCUGGCAGCUGUGUGUGGACCCUGGGACUCUGUUACAUGGCCGGGUGCUGAGGGGCAGGGGUCCGAGCCAGGCCAGCAAGCCUUCCUUAGACCCCCUGUGUGCAGGCCUGGUGCCCGGUGUAGGGGACCCAGUGGAGAACAAGAUCAGGCUGUUGCCAUGAGACUUUCGUCUGGUGGGGAGUCCUGAGAAGGACGUAGGUGAGGUGGGGAAGAGGUUCCAGGUGAACGCAGGUGUCCACCCCGCAUUCCAGGGUGGCAGGUGGCCUGGGGCAGGUGUGGAGUGGUUGGGUGGGCGCCCUGCAUGCUAUGUUAGUGUAGGGUGGUGCACACCUGGCCGGCAGGCCUUGCUUCCGCUCUUCACCCUCCACCUGUCGAGGGUGCGCCCUGGGAGUGGGUGGAGGAUGAUGGGCAUGCGUGGGAAGAGCUCUGAGAUCCUUGGCCUCAUGGAGAGUGUUGGGCAGUUACCCGUCCCCUGCCCUUGGGCCUUUGUGAGUGUGGCUUCCUGGAACUCUGGGGGAUUUGUCCCCAGUGACUGCAGGGGGCUCUCCUGUCCCUUUUAUUCAAGCUCCACUGUCUGCCCUAAGCUGGGGACUGGUCCAGCUGACCUGGACAGUACGGCACGUGGGCCCUGCCGGUCAGCGUGGUGUUGGGAAGCACUUGGGUGGGUGGUGGGUUGGGUUGUGGCCUUACCGCAGAGCCUGGGCUGCAGCUGAGAAAGCCGUCUCCUAGGACCAGGACUCUGGGUUUGGGAGGCUGGCGGUCUUGGCCCAGCAGUUCAGUGGCUGCCCGGUGUGUCUGCCUGGCCUGGCCCUCGUCUGGUUGCUGCCGUCUGGGAGGCACUUCUGCCCUUGCCCAGGCGGGGCACUGCGGGGGCGAGGACGCGGCGUGGAAGACUGCUGAUUCAGGAAUCGAAACUCCAGGGGCAUCGUGUAGCAGAGUGAUUCUAAGAUGAUUAAGAAAACCAUCGAUGAUUUAAAGUGUUCACUGCAGUCCUUAUUGAGUGAUUUGCCACGUGCAGGGCAUGUGGGGGUGGCGCACCGGGCUGCAGACAUCCUUCAUGACAGCAGGCAGGGGACGUCCUAGGAGUCUUGGCUGUGACAAGUGAGGUGUGAGGGCUAGAGAGGUGAACGUGUGGAAUCUGUGACCCAGAAGUAGCACACUCCUUUCUUGGAAAGCAGUUAGGUAUUCCAUUCCUUAGUCCUUAUGCCGUUGUUUAAAACGGCCAAAACCAGAGGCCUAGAGAAUGUACCUGGAAGAUGCAGUGAGACCAUUUCUGAUCCUUGUGGCCUUUCCGGGGCUCAGUUUCCUUGCUUUGGAAAGGCUGUUUUGGCAGAGGUCUGCUGUGAGGCAUCUCCCUGCAGGUGCAAUUUCCGGGGCUCAGUCUUCUUGCUUUGGAAAGGCUGUUUUGGCAGAGGUCUGCUGUGAGGCAUCUCCCUGCAGGUGCAAUUGGGCUUGUGCGUCUUUCUCAGGCUGGCAUCACACAGGCCCCAGUGAACUCUGGCAAGGCUGGGAGGACUGUGACGGGGGGACCCGCUGCCUGCCCUCAGCCUGUUGGGCCCCACAGCGUGUCUCUCUGCGGACUGGUCGCCGGCUUCCUGUGGCCUGUGUGUCCUGGAGCUUUGGAACCCUGUUCGGUAGCUCGGAGCUCGUGAGCCCAAAGGGCGGGGGCCUGGUUCCUCGCCCAUCCUUGCCCAGCCUGAUGGCCUGUGCCUGUGGACUGUACGUGGGCACCUGCUUUAACCCCUGCAGGAGUAGGGGCCACCAGGAGCAUGUGGCUCUGGGCCUCCCUGGUAGAGUCACUCACUGGCAGGAGAACUGAGUGGGACCCACCAGGCAGUGUCUGUCUCAUGGACGCCCGUGGACCUGCAGCCUGGAGAGGGGGCCUGAAGUGUGUUCCGCGCUCUUGACCCCCAGGAAGCACUGGCCUCUGUUGAAAGCCUCCUGCCGCAGAGCGCUGUUGCUCUCCCGGAUGGACGGCCGUGUGGGCUCCUUGCUCCAGCGAUGCCAGUGCUCCUGCUGCUGUGUGUGGCUGGCUCCCCUUUGUCUCAGCCCUGGGCUUAGAGCAGGCCAGGUGCUCAGGCAGUGCUUUUGUUGAUUGAAGGGGGGUGUGUACCUGGCUGCAACCUGUGGAGAGUGUGAAUGGCUGGCAGAAGCCAAGGCGGGCUCUUGGGAGAUGAGAGCAGGCGGCCGGCCUGGAAGCUUCCGUGGGGCUGGUCAGCUCCGGCUAGCUCUUCCUGGCACAGAUCCACGCUGGGCUGGGUGCCAUGGCUCAUACCUGUAAUCCCAGCACUUUGGGAGCCUGAGGUGGGAGGAUCGCUUGAGCCUGAGAGUCCAAGGCCAGCCUGGGCAACACUGUGAGACCCCACCUCUAUUUUAAAAAAUAAAAAUAUAAAGAUGGGAUCAUGGCGCAGGGGCAGCACAAGUUCCAGGCGCACAAGCCCGCAAAGAGCAAGACGGCAGCGGCGGCCUCUGAAAAGAAUCGGGGCCCGAGAAAAGGCCGUCGUGUUAUCGCUCCCAAGAAGGCGCGUGGUGUGCAGCAGCAAAAGCUCAAGAAGAACCUAGAAGUCGGGAUCCAGAAGAAGAUCGAACAUGACGUGGUGAUGAAAGCCAGCAGCAGCCUGCCCGAGAAGCUGGCACUGCUGAAGGGCCGUGGCACUGCUGAAGAAUGGGGCGGCUGCCGCCACCUCCUCUGAGACACCUUCCUGAGGACGCUGGCCCCAGUGCAGGCCAACACCCCAUCCCCUACCUCCAUAUGGGAUCUUACAAGUGAUCCCACAGGCUGCACUGUCAGGAAGAGGACCCGUUCCCCAGCACUGGGCUUCAUCUAGAACUUGAGUGGGGGCCAAGGGUGCUGAGAACCCAGCAGUGACCAGGAAGAUACAGUCACCAACUUCAUCUGUCCCCAUGCCCCUUCCCAGGUCCUGCCUCCACAGGUUUAACCCAGAACAAUAAACCUGGCUUUGUC
Macaca mulatta (Rhesus monkey) is the source of this 8517-nucleotide RNA transcript. It is a transcript of the gene named leydig cell tumor 10 kDa protein homolog pseudogene, with no coding region annotated. NCBI's taxonomy places the organism in Eukaryota, Metazoa, Chordata, Mammalia, Primates, Cercopithecidae. The record is from RefSeq and is a predicted model, not a curated record.